This 5432-nucleotide long non-coding RNA is filed under the name Triticum aestivum (bread wheat). RNAcentral's name for it is "long non-coding RNA (TAES_LNC011215)". Lineage: Eukaryota; Viridiplantae; Streptophyta; Magnoliopsida; Poales; Poaceae. The record is from RNAcentral.
CAGCAGAUGGCAUCAUGCACGUCUGGAGCUCCACUAAUUUCAGGUAAUCACCGUAUAAUUAAACAACAUUAUGUUGUUGCAUAUAAUUAAACGCCAACUAAUGCUGUCAUGGAAUGUGGUACCAAAUUUAUAACCCGUAGGUGCCUAUGUUGCAUAUACUAUGUAUUUUUUGCUCUCAUCUUGGGAGAUUUGUAAGUGAUUGCACAAUAAUCCACAGGCUCAAGAGAACCAUUAACUUAGGCGGCGGUGGACGUGUUGUCGGUCUCGCAUGUUUGAUGGGUUCACGAAGGUACAUGCCCUUGUUAUUUUAAUUUCAUUUUUAUUUUCUGUCUGACUAGGAGAGUUGCUUCGCUGCAUGCUCUUUAGGUGGGAAACAAUGAUAUAAUUUUGUCUCAAUAAUUAUCAACAAUCAAUCAAGCUUGCCCUUUGUUCAUGUUCCAUAUUUUUUUAAUAGAGAAAAAAUAUUUUUGGCCCCACAAGUUUGCGCAAAAGUACACAUUUGGUCCCUCAUCAUUUUUGGGGUGAUUGACAUUUCAUCCCUCAUGUUCCAAAACCGACCAAGAAUCGUCCAAAACCGGAGCGAAGCGGUAUGGGGCUGACAUGUCAAUGGUUUUCGGCUCACUGUGCCACAUGGCGGUCAAAGUCAACUAUUUCUCCUACCCCCAUGUCUCUCUUUCACACAACUCAUUUCCCAAGGUCUUCUUCCCCAAUAUCCUUUCUCCAUCAUCGGCUCCCCGAUAUCUCGGACAUUCCUUCAAUGCCGCUCCUCAACGAGGCGAGCGCCUCGCUACCGCCAAGCACACCAUCAACAGGCACCUCCCGUAUGUGUGCUUCCCGAACCGAAAGCCUCCACAGCCAUCGCAGCAUCUAGUUCCAUGACGCAUGCGCCUGGGAGGCCGUCCAGUGCACCCUCCUCGUCCAGUCGCAACACCUUCCUCAACACUGCCCAUGUGCCCGCGCUGGCCUAGCACGGACAGUAGUAGCAAACAAGUCGACCCUCUGACGCUGGUGUCGAGGAGGAAUGCAUGGAGCUUGUCUUGGAAGGCGAGGUCCAUGGAGGCGACGCCCUGGGAGUACAUGGCCACACAUGCGACGUUGUUGGCCUCGAGGUGGCGCGGACCCCAUGGAGCAUGGUGGUUUAGAGCACCGCACCGCCGUCGGUGCUGCUGGUGGGGCGGGAGCGAGACGCGCGUUGCCGUCAAUGGGACAAAGUGGGAGGCAGUUAGGGUGGAGCGGGCGUUGGUGUACCUGGGGAUGGGGCGACGCGGGGACAUGGACUUCGCCGACCCGAUGGAGGACGGGCACCUAGUUUUAAAUUUCAAUUUCAGGAAUAUUUUAGCACCUACCGAAAUUACCGAAUUUUAGUGAUUUCUGUUUACAUUUCAGCCAAAGAACCGGAAUGUUCGCUUGAAAUUCAAAAAUAUAUUUGAACAUUUAAAAAAUAUUUUGAAAAAUAUUUGAAUUCCUGUGUACAACUGAAAUUACUGAAAUAUUUUUACUGAGAGUUAAAUAUGUUGGUGUCUACUGAAAUUGCUUCAUCGAACUCUCACUGAAAGUGAAAACCGCAACGGCAGAGAAAACGGGGUAGACGAGACGGUCAUAUGGGGCAGAGGAGGAGGAGCUCGGUGGUGGACUGGGCACGGAUGGCGGGAAAGAGGAGAAACCAUGGGAAGUGGACUACAGUGCGAGGCGCGUGCAAUGAAUCCCAAAGGCGACGCAAGGAGCAUAUUUCUCUAGGUGGUGGGGAAGGCUGACUGCGGCGGCUCUCCAUUAGAGCAACCCAGCAGAGUCACCAUAUCCGCAACAUGCAAAGCACUUUUGGAUGGCGCUCCAUAGUUUUUUGGUGGCUGCGGAGGUUGUGCCCAAACACAGAGUCGCCAUAUGCAGCCUUCAUAAUUUUUCCGAUUUUUAUGAUUCAACAAUAUGUUUACAAACCAUUAAUUUGAAUACAACAAAUAGUCCAAGUUAACAAAUAAUCCAAUGAAACAAAUUGUUCAAGAGAAAAAAUGAAUUAAGGAAAGUUAAACACACCAUCGUCCAGCUAGAUGCUAUUGAUGCUCAGUAAAAAUCUUCACAUGGCUGAUCAUGGGCCAGUCUUCAAUCUUCUAGUACGCCUCAAGAAAUGUUCGAAUAUGGUUUAUGUGCCUACGAGGCCUGACAGUUGUUCCCAUGUGAUUAUAGUCUUUGGCCAUCGGUGUUUCCCUCUCAUCCUGAGUGAUCAUAUUGUGUAGGAUCAUACAGCAAGUCAUGAUCUUUGUAAAGCAAUCCUUAUUCUAGAAACAAGCAAAACCCCGAACAAUUGCAAACCUAGCUUGCAGCACUCCAAAUGCUCUCUCGGCGUCCUUUCUCCCUGCUUCUUGCACCUUUACGAAAUGUUUAUGUUUCUUACUUUGAGGAUUAGAAAUCGUCUUCACAAAUGUUGACCAAGAUGGACAGAUGCCAUCGGCUAGAUACUAGUCUUGGUCGUACUCAUGGCCUUCACCUUAUAGUUGCAUCCUGGAGCAGUACCACUUCCUAGACUAGCAAACAUAUGAGAUCUCUGCAUGACAUUGAUGUCAUUAUGAGAUCCGGGAAAGCCAAAGUAGCAAUGCCAAAUCUAGAAAUCCUCGGAGGCAACCUCUUCCAAAAUCAUAGUUGGAUCACGGCAAUGCUUGGUGAACUGAUAGUGACAUGAUCCCGGGAAAUUCUUCGACCUCCAAUGCAUAAAUUAAACACUCUCAAGAUCCCAAGACAGCCUCUUGCUUCACUGGUUGCUAAAAGCCUCGCCGUUUCCUCAUCGUUGGGUGCUUGCAUAUAUUGAGCUCCAUAAACCCUUACCACAGUAUUGAGGAACACUUUUCUGCACAUUAUGAUUGUAUUUUCUGCCAUUAGAAUAUCGUAAUCUGCAGUAUCUGCAGGAGUGCCAUAUGCAAUCACCCAAAGUGUUGCGGUCACCUUCUUUAAACAAGAAAAACCCAACAGACCAAUGACAUUCCUGACUUGCUUGAAAAAUAGUUCAUUGGCUUCCAUGUUUGGAAAUUUGACGGAACAACCGUAUGGACACGUGGAAGCGUCGUUGGAAUAGGUAGGGAGGGUAUCUAGUAUGUGGGGAAAAGUAGCCGGCCAUGAGCAGAUUAUGGCAGGCUACUCUAUUUGGGUGAAAUGUCAAAUGACCUAUCUACGACCCCGCACACUUCCUCUUCAUUCGGUUGUCCCUAUCCAUUGGGCAACCAUCAAUACAAUCUCAUUGUCUUAAGCGUCCAUCACCCCACUCUCAGACUUGUCGCUUGAAGACUACGGUGAAUUAUCGAAAAACUUCUCUAUCAUCGUCGACAUCUACACUAAUUUUGAAUCCUAUGUCAUCUACACGAAUCUAUGCGGAGCUAGGCUACUACACAUGAGCAAAUUUAGGAAAUUUUACCUUGGGGCAAGUCGUUGAACAUCAAGAUGUUGCAUGGAUGAUGCGGGAGAUGGAGUUGGUGGCGGCAGAUAGUCGGCGCGUGAUGCCGCCCUCUUUAGCAAGCCGAAGAAGGGUGGAUCAGCGGCAGAGAGAUGCCUGCAUCUAAGGAUGGCAAUGGGUCGGGUAUAGGUUGGGUACAACAAUCCCAUACACAACAUGCUCAUGUGCGCCAAUGUCUGCCCAUACCCGGCGGGUACCCAACGGGCAACUCAACACACUAAUUCAAAAAUAUGCCAUUCAAUAGUAUUUUUUGACAGAAAUACAAAAUUGAACUCAGUUUCAUGACAUGGUCAAAGAAAAAGGAUUUCAUUAGUUCAAGCAGAACACUUCAAUAGUUUAAACAAAGGGAUUCAUGCACGACCACACAUUCACAUAGUUAAAGUGUAUAACUUUGUCGGGUCAUGUUCGGGCAUGCCCAUAGGCAAUAGUUAUACCUAUACCCUACCCAUGGCUAAUCGGGUAGGGUUCGGGUGCUACCUUUGGGCACAAAAGUAUGCACAAACCCUACCUAAGCGGGUCGGGUACCCAUGGGUAAAACUGUCAUCCUUACCCGCAUUGACCUCCCAUGGCGCGACCAUGGCAGUGGUAGGCGGGACGGCGGGAAGCAGGCGUGGGGCUGCGGCGAAGUGUGAUAUGUUCGGGAACGGCUCAGUGGAGGCGAGCAGGGCCAAUUCGUGGUGGUUNNNNNNNNNNNNNNNNNNNNNNNNNNNNNNNNNNNNNNNNNNNNNNNNNNNNNNNNNNNNNNNNNNNNNNNNNNNNNNNNNNNNNNNNNNNNNNNNNNNNNNNNNNNNNNNNNNNNNNNNNNNNNNNNNNNNNNNNNNNNNNNNNNNNNNNNNNNNNNNNNNNNNNNNNNNNNNNNNNNNNNNNNNNNNNNNNNNNNNNNNNNNNNNNNNNNNNNNNNNNNNNNNNNNNNNNNNNNNNNNNNNNNNNNNNNNNNNNNNNNAAUGGCUGCAGAAGGGGCGCGCAUCCUGAAAUGUCCCUGGUGCCAAAACAAUUAGUGGAUGGAGGGAGCACUAUAUUGCCUUACCCAACCUCCAAAUAUGGAGGCUCGCGAGCUUGAUUUGGAGCAACCUUCAAAAAAUAUGACGGUGGAGCGCUGGAUGACGAUUCUGCUAGACCCAUUUUUGGCUAAAAUUGUCAUAUGGGCAAUUAUUUUGGCGGUCGGGCUGAUAUGACAAUUCUGUUACACUUGCUCUUAGACUAGCCACAAUGAUGAGUAACAUACACUAGUAACAUACACAUAUCUCUAGACUAUAUUACUAUCUUUAUAGUGGGUAGUAACAUAAGUGUGGUAAUAUGCAAAGCUUCAUUUAUUAGGUUAUAGACUCAUAUUGCAUUGGGACAUGUGAUGUUACAGUAACUAGCUAAGUUACUAUAACUACCUCUCUCCUCAUUAAUCACUGCCACAUAAGCAAAUUUGCUGAGUUGGACUUGAUGUUACUGCUGAAAUUACUCCCACUGUGGCUAGUCUUAUCACCAAAGGAGAUGAGGUGGCGACUAGCAGGGAAAUUUAGAGAGAGCGAGAUGACUUUGACUGAUGACGUGGUAGCUGGGAUUCCAGAAACCAGUGACUUGUCAGUCACAAGCUUUGCUCCGGUAUUGGACGAUUCAUGCCUGGUUUGAAAACAUGAGGGACGAAAUGUCGCACCAAAAAAGAUGAGGAUCCAUUUGCGCAAGAUUAAGGGAUAAAAAAUAUACUUUUCUCCUUUUCUCUUCUUAAUAUCUAUGCCAAAUAUUUCAAGAUUCUUAUUCCUAUUGUCUAUUUAUGAUAACAAAGUUGUGAAGAGGAGUAUCUUUAUCUGACAGGAUUGUGAUUGGGCAAGAACGCCAUAUUUACCAUGGAUAUCCAUGACGAGGAAGUGAUUGUGCUCCAAGCGAUGUAGACACCGGCGAGUCACGCUGUCGCUGGCGGCUACUAGUGGUCUGAGCUUGAGGAUCCAACCAAUGCGCCCGCCAUCGUUGGGAACUUUCGACUUGAUGUGAAGAUGGAAUU